AGUCUUAUAUUCAAUUAUGAUUAUAAAUUGCAAAUUUAUAGGUGAAAAAAAAUUCUAAGGCUU
This 63-nucleotide transfer RNA is filed under the name Scymninae sp. 4 ACP-2013. RNAcentral's name for it is "tRNA-Cys". Lineage: Eukaryota; Metazoa; Arthropoda; Insecta; Coleoptera; Coccinellidae. The record is from RNAcentral.